This 934-nucleotide ribosomal RNA is filed under the name uncultured bacterium. RNAcentral describes it as "bacterial SSU rRNA". It matches the Rfam family "Bacterial small subunit ribosomal RNA", at positions 1 to 928 of the family's 1533-position model. The record is from RNAcentral.
GAAUUCGCCCUUAGAGUUUGAUCCUGGCUCAGAUUGAACGCUAGCGGCAUGCUUUACACAUGCAAGUCGAACGGCAGCGCGGGGCAACCUGGCGGCGAGUGGCGAACGGGUGAGUAAUACAUCGGAACGUACCCUGUGAUGGGGGAUAACCACGCGAAAGCGUGACUAAUACCGCAUACGACCCAAGGGUGAAAGUGGGGGAUCGCAAGACCUCACGUCAUAGGAGCGGCCGAUGGCGGAUUAGCUAGUUGGUGAGGUAAAGGCUCACCAAGGCGACGAUCCGUAGCUGGUCUGAGAGGACGACCAGCCACACUGGGACUGAGACGCGGCCCAGACUCCUACGGGAGGCAGCAGUGGGGAAUCUUGGACAAUGGGGGCAACCCUGAUCCAGCAAUGCCGCGUGUGGGAUGAAGGCCUUCGGGUUGUAAACCACUUUUGGCGGGGGCGAAAUAUCGAGUGCUAAUACCAUUCGGUGAUGACGGUACCCGCAGAAUAAGCACCGGCUAACUACGUGCCAGCAGCCGCGGUAAUACGUAGGGUGCAAGCGUUAAUCGGAAUUACUGGGCGUAAAGCGUGCGCAGGCGGUUUGGUAAGACAGAUGUGAAAUUCCCGGGCUCAACCUGGGAACUGCAUUUGUGACUGCCUAACUAGAGUGCGGCAGAGGGGAGUGGAAUUCCGCGUGUAGCAGUGAAAUGCGUAGAUAUGCGGAGGAACACCGAUGGCGAAGGCAACUCCCUGGGCCUGCACUGACGCUCAUGCACGAAAGCGUGGGGAGCAAACAGGAUUAGAUACCCUGGUAGUCCACGCCCUAAACGAUGUCGACUAGUUGUUGGACGGGAUACUGUUCAGUAACGUAGCUAACGCGUGAAGUCGACCGCCUGGGGAGUACGGCCGCAAGGUUAAAACUUAAAGGAAUUGACGGAAGGGCGAAUUC